Molecule: ribosomal RNA, 589 nt
Filed under: uncultured marine bacterium
Lineage: Bacteria
Description: bacterial SSU rRNA
Rfam family: Bacterial small subunit ribosomal RNA
Source: RNAcentral
AGUCGAGCGAAGCUUUUCAGUAGUUUACUACAGAAAAUGACUGAGCGGCGAACGGGUGAGUAACGCGUGAGCAACCUACCUUAGUUACUGGGAUAGCCCGAGGAAACUCGGAUUAAUACCGGAUAUUCUUAUUUAAUCACAUGAUUUUUUAAGGAAAGGUCAGCCGAACUAAGAUGGGCUCGCGUUCUAUCAGCUAGUUGGUAGGGUAAUGGCCUACCAAGGCUACGACGGAUAGCUGGUCUGAGAGGACGAUCAGCCACACUGGGACUGAGACACGGCCCAGACUCCUACGGGAGGCUGCAGCAGGGAAUAUUGCGCAAAGAGCGAAAGCUUGACGCAGCGACACCGCGUGUGGGAUGACGGAUCUAGGUUUGUAAACCACUUUCAGGAGGGAAGAAAAUGACGGUACCUCCACAAGAAGCCCCGGCCAACUACGUGCCAGCAGCCGCGGUAAUACGUAGGGGGCGAGCGUUGUCCGGAUUUAUUGGGCGUAAAGAGCUCGUAGGCGGUUCAACAAGUCGGUCGUGAAAGUUCAGGGCUCAACCCUGAAAUGUCGAUCGAUACUGUUGUGACUAGGAUACGGUAGAGG